AUUGCGCAAUGGAGGAAACUCUGACGCAGCGACGCCGCGUGAGCGAUGAAGGUCUUCNNNUCGUANAGCACUGUCCUCAGGGANGAGNAAAGCGAGGGUACCUGAGGAGGAAGCCCCGGCUAACUACGUGCCAGCAGCCGCGGUAAUACGUAGGGGGCAAGCGUUGUCCGGAAUUAUUGGGCGUAAAGGGUGCGUAGGCGGCUUUUUAAGUCAGAUGUGAAAGACCACAGCUUAACUGUGGGGUUGCAUUUGAAACUGGAGAGCUUGAGUAUCGGAGAGGGUAGUGGAAUUCCUGGAGUAGCGGUGAAAUGCGUAGAUAUCAGGAGGAACACCAGUGGCGAAGGCGACUACCUGGACGAAAACUGACGCUGAGGCACGAAAGCUAGGGGAGCAAACA
This 397-nucleotide ribosomal RNA is filed under the name uncultured bacterium. Its description in RNAcentral is "partial 16S ribosomal RNA". It matches the Rfam family "Bacterial small subunit ribosomal RNA", at positions 363 to 774 of the family's 1533-position model. The record is from RNAcentral.